This 426-nucleotide ribosomal RNA is filed under the name uncultured Aphanocapsa sp. RNAcentral's name for it is "bacterial SSU rRNA". It matches the Rfam family "Bacterial small subunit ribosomal RNA", at positions 355 to 795 of the family's 1533-position model. The record is from RNAcentral. Lineage: Bacteria; Bacillati; Cyanobacteriota; Cyanophyceae; Chroococcales; Microcystaceae.
UGGGGAAUUUUCCGCAAUGGGCGAAAGCCUGACGGAGCAAUACCGCGUGAGGGAGGAAGGUCCUUGGGUUGUAAACCUCAAAACUUAGGGAAGAAGAAAGUGACGGUACCUAAUGAAUAAGCAUCGGCUAACUCCGUGCCAGCAGCCGCGGUAAUACGGAGGAUGCAAGCGUUAUCCGGAAUCAUUGGGCGUAAAGAGUCUGUAGGUGGCAUUUAAAGUCUGCUGUCAAAGACCGAAGCUCAACUUCGGGCAGGCGGUGGAAACUGCAAAGCUAGAGUAUAGUAGGGGUAGAGGGAAUUCCCAGUGUAGCGGUGAAAUGCGUAGAGAUUAGGAAGAACACCAGUGGCGAAGGCGCUCUACUGGGCAUAUACUGACACUGAGAGACGAAAGCUAGGGUAGCGAAAGGGAUUAGAUACCCCUGUAGUC